UACUAGAGAAGGUCCCAGUGAGUAGCUGUA
RNAcentral lists this non-coding RNA (30 nucleotides) under Mus musculus (house mouse). The record is from RNAcentral. Lineage: Eukaryota; Metazoa; Chordata; Mammalia; Rodentia; Muridae.